RNAcentral lists this long non-coding RNA (224 nucleotides) under Zostera marina. RNAcentral describes it as "long non-coding RNA (ZMAR_LNC003137)". Lineage: Eukaryota; Viridiplantae; Streptophyta; Magnoliopsida; Alismatales; Zosteraceae. The record is from RNAcentral.
AAGACAAGAAGACAGUGAUUCUGAUUCUGAUGACGAUAGCAAAGACGAAAAUUUAUCGUCUCAAGGUUCAACUACAUUUCAUAUGAAGCCUCUGUUUAAAAACGAUCAUAUUGGACCUUGGCUGAAAGCAUCAAAGGGAAAGAAAAAUGGGCGCAUUCUGGGAUUUAGAGUUGGCAAUGACUCUAUGUUAUCAAAUAAGAGGAGAAAGAAAAUGAGCAAUGAGG